RNAcentral lists this unclassified non-coding RNA (176 nucleotides) under soil metagenome. Its description in RNAcentral is "partial internal transcribed spacer 1". The record is from RNAcentral.
CCGAGUGCGGGCCUCGCGGCCCAACCUCCCACCCUUGUCUCUAUACACCUGUUGCUUUGGCGGGCCCACCGGGGCCACCCGGUCGCCGGGGGACGCACGUCCCCGGGCCCGCGCCCGCCGAAGCGCUCUGUGAACCCUGAUGAAGAUGGGCUGUCUGAGUACUAUGAAAAUUGUCA